GACGCACGCUGGCGGCGUGCUUAACACAUGCAAGUCGAACGGAAAGGCCCUGCUUUUGUGGGGUGCUCGAGUGGCGAACUGGUGAGUAACACGUGAGUAACCUGCCCUUGACUUUGGGAUAACUUCAGGAAACUGGGGCUAAUACCUGAUAGGAGCUCCUUCUGCAUGGUGGGGGUUGGAAAGUUUCGGCGGGUGGGGAUGGACUCGCGGCUUAUCAGCUUGUUGGUGGGGUAGUGGCUUACCAAGGCUUUGACGGGUAGCCGGCCUGAGAGGGUGACCGGCCACAUUGGGACUGAGAUACGGCCCAGACUCCUACGGGAGGCAGCAGUGGGGAAUAUUGCACAAUGGGCGGAAGCCUGAUGCAGCAACGCCGCGUGCGGGAUGACGGCCUUCGGGUUGUAAACCGCUUUCGCCUGUGACGAAGCGUGAGUGACGGUAAUGGGUAAAGAAGCACCGGCUAACUACGUG
Molecule: ribosomal RNA, 468 nt
Filed under: uncultured bacterium
Lineage: Bacteria
Description: partial 16S ribosomal RNA
Rfam family: Bacterial small subunit ribosomal RNA
Source: RNAcentral